This 497-nucleotide ribosomal RNA is filed under the name uncultured bacterium. RNAcentral's name for it is "partial 16S ribosomal RNA". It matches the Rfam family "Bacterial small subunit ribosomal RNA", at positions 28 to 507 of the family's 1533-position model. The record is from RNAcentral.
GAUGAACGCUGGCGGCGUGCCUAAUACAUGCAAGUCGAGCGAACGGACGAGAAGCUUGCUUCUCUGAUGUUAGCGGCGGACGGGAGAGUAACACGUGGAUAACCUACCUAUAAGACUGGGAUAACUUCGGGAAACCGGAGCUAAUACCGGAUAAUAUUUUGAACCGCAUGGUUCAAAAGUGAAAGACGGUCUUGCGGUCACUUAUAGAUGGAUCCGCGCUGCAUUAGCUAGUUGGUAAGGUAACGGCUUACCAAGGCAACGAUGCAUAGCCGACCUGAGAGGGUGAUCGGCCACACUGGAACUGAGACACGGUCCAGACUCCUACGGGAGGCAGCAGUAGGGAAUCUUCCGCAAUGGGCGAAAGCCUGACGGAGCAACGCCGCGUGAGUGAUGAAGGUCUUCGGAUCGUAAAACUCUGUUAUUAGGGAAGAACAUAUGUGUAAGUAACUGUGCACAUCUUGACGGUACCUAAUCAGAAAGCCACGGCUAACUACGUG